CGGUCGGCAGUUCACCCAGGCGUCGCCGCCCCUCACCGGGGAGCUAAACCUGCCA
Non-coding RNA from Desulfovibrio desulfuricans, 55 nucleotides. NCBI's taxonomy places the organism in Bacteria, Pseudomonadati, Thermodesulfobacteriota, Desulfovibrionia, Desulfovibrionales, Desulfovibrionaceae. The record is from Rfam.